AAGUCGUAACAAGGUAACCGUAGGUGAACCUGCGGUUGGAUCAUUAAUGUAAUUUGAAAUAGACUUUGGUCUAUUCUCAUCAAUGGAUGGAUAACUCUUUUUUUAGAGUUUGAAAUCCUUUACACCUAUUGUGAACUGUUAUUGUAUUUGUCAUUGGUAUGAAUGACUUUUUUGUCGUUUAUGCCUUUGACGUUUUAUUUUAAAACAUUGUUUAUUUUCUUUUGGUUUUUCUUUAUAAUGAAAUAUUAUAAUUGAAACAACUUUUGACAACGGAUCUCUUGGCUCUC
RNAcentral lists this unclassified non-coding RNA (287 nucleotides) under fungal sp. RNAcentral's name for it is "partial internal transcribed spacer region". The stretch from base 1 to 46 matches the Rfam family "Eukaryotic small subunit ribosomal RNA", at positions 1786 to 1831 of the family's 1831-position model. The record is from RNAcentral. Lineage: Eukaryota; Fungi.